AAAAGACAUCCAACAGCAGGAGAGCAGAAAGGAUGGUGAAGAGGAAUAAACUGCAUUUUACUGCAAAGUUGGAAGACGUUGCUGACAUCAGGCACUGGGGAGCACCGCUUGCAUUUCCAGCAGGGAUCCUUUUGACUGACAGAGUUUUAUUUGUGUGAGCAGCUACCUCGCUGAAAUUUUCCUCCCUGUACAAAGGAAAGAGACUCCAGGCAGCCAGCUGGUGGAAGGACACGCCUGUCCUCAUUCCCCUUCUCAUGCAUGAAUGCACUGGCUGAUUUCAAGUGAAUUUGACAGGAAGCAGUGCUUUCCUUCUCACCCGAGCCCUUAAAC
Long non-coding RNA from Gallus gallus (chicken), 330 nucleotides. The record is from Ensembl. NCBI's taxonomy places the organism in Eukaryota, Metazoa, Chordata, Aves, Galliformes, Phasianidae.